Acyrthosiphon pisum (pea aphid) is the source of this 869-nucleotide long non-coding RNA. RefSeq lists it as uncharacterized. The record is from RefSeq and is a predicted model, not a curated record. NCBI's taxonomy places the organism in Eukaryota, Metazoa, Arthropoda, Insecta, Hemiptera, Aphididae. The transcript is spliced from 4 exons.
AAUACACAAACUGCGAAUUUGAGAGCAUCGUCAUUCGUCAUCGAAAAUGGCCAAAAUUCAGAAAUAUGAAUGUUGCGAUCAUAGACUGUACUAGUGUACUACUAUAGUAUAAUAUGAUCUAAAGUCGCGAUGGUAGUCGUUUUUCGGGGACAUCGUCAAGAUGCGUGGAAUAAAAUAUGUAAUGUCUGCACGUACAAAGGAUCUGUGCUUGUCAACAGAUACACGUCGAUCGUCGAUGCAUCAUUUAAAGUAAUUUCGCAAAAUAUGGGAUAUCAACUUCAUAGUUCUUACACCGAGUCCUACGUGAAUCCGGCGAGUGCGUCGAAAAACAAAACAUUUUGUAUUUUGCCGAAUCGGACUCACCGCUCUGCAAGAUUGAAAAUUACAACAUUUGACCCAAUCAAACAAAAAACACCUUGUUACUGUAACUGAACUGAGCAAAUAACCAAAUGCAUAUAAGACAAUUCCAGACUUGCAAAUAAAUACGGCUUCAGAUAAAUUAAGUUUUGGCCAAAUAACCAUUUGGACAUUCCUUCUAUUUUAUUCUGAUGUAACUGCAUGAUUCGUUAAGUAUGAACAAAACCACAGAAAUUGGGACGUCAAAAAUGAUGAAUGUAGAAAUGCAGAAUAGCCACAGAUUAUUGUACUGCCACAUGAUUCAGAGGAAAGUAGGUCAGAAAUCUAACAGUUUAUGUCCUAUAUACCGUUAUAUCAGUCUCAUAAUAACCAACUACAGAUCUGCUCAAAAAGACGCUAUAUCCUAAAAAUGUUGAGAAGUUCAAUUUGAAUACAGCUGGUUUCACUAUAUACAAAAAAAAAGAACAUUUGACUCAAUUAAAUACAAAACACCGUGUUUCUGUAACAUAAUU